UACGUAGGGGGCAAGCGUUGUCCGGAUUUAUUGGGCGUAAAGAGCGUGUAGGCGGUCAGGUAGGUCCGUUGUGAAAACUCGAGGCUCAACCUCGAGACGCCGAUGGAAACCAUCUGACUAGAGUCCGGAAGAGGAGAGUGGAAUUCCUGGUGUAGCGGUGAAAUGCGCAGAUAUCAGGAAGAACACCCGUGGCUAAGGCGGCUCUCUAGUACGGUACUGACGCUGAGACGCGAAAGCGUGGGGGGCGAACAGG
This 253-nucleotide ribosomal RNA is filed under the name uncultured bacterium. RNAcentral's name for it is "partial 16S ribosomal RNA". It matches the Rfam family "Bacterial small subunit ribosomal RNA", at positions 524 to 776 of the family's 1533-position model. The record is from RNAcentral.